RNAcentral lists this ribosomal RNA (254 nucleotides) under uncultured bacterium. RNAcentral describes it as "partial 16S ribosomal RNA". It matches the Rfam family "Bacterial small subunit ribosomal RNA", at positions 524 to 777 of the family's 1533-position model. The record is from RNAcentral.
UACGAAGGGGGCUAGCGUUGCUCGGAAUCACUGGGCGUAAAGGGUGCGUAGGCGGGUCUUUAAGUCAGGGGUGAAAUCCUGGAGCUCAACUCCAGAACUGCCUUUGAUACUGAGGAUCUUGAGUUCGGGAGAGGUGAGUGGAACUGCGAGUGUAGAGGUGAAAUUCGUAGAUAUUCGCAAGAACACCAGUGGCGAAGGCGGCCAACUGGUCCGGUACUGACGCUGAGGUGCGAAAGCGUGGGGAGCAAACAGGG